GCGUCGGUGGUAGAGUGGUCAAUUACACGACACUGUAAAUGUCGCGGCUUCGGCCUACGAAGGUUCGAAUCCUUCCCGGCGCA
RNAcentral lists this transfer RNA (83 nucleotides) under Parcubacteria bacterium C7867-007. RNAcentral's name for it is "tRNA-Tyr". It matches the Rfam family "tRNA". From Rfam's summary of the family: Transfer RNA (tRNA) molecules are approximately 80 nucleotides in length. Their secondary structure includes four short double-helical elements and three loops (D, anti-codon, and T loops). Further hydrogen bonds mediate the characteristic L-shaped molecular structure. tRNAs have two regions of fundamental functional importance: the anti-codon, which is responsible for specific mRNA codon recognition, and the 3' end, to which the tRNAs corresponding amino acid is attached (by aminoacyl-tRNA synthetases). tRNAs cope with the degeneracy of the genetic code in two manners: having more than one tRNA (with a specific anti-codon) for a particular amino acid; and 'wobble' base-pairing, i.e. permitting non-standard base-pairing at the 3rd anti-codon position. Lineage: Bacteria; Candidatus Parcubacteria. The record is from RNAcentral.